This 148-nucleotide small RNA is filed under the name Pongo abelii (Sumatran orangutan). RNAcentral describes it as "Metazoan signal recognition particle RNA (ENSPPYG00000038294.1)". Lineage: Eukaryota; Metazoa; Chordata; Mammalia; Primates; Hominidae. The record is from Rfam by way of RNAcentral.
GCCAGGCAUGGUGAUGCAUGCCUGUAAUCCCAGCUACUCCGGAGGCUGAGGCAGGAGAAUCGCUUGAACCCAGGAGGUAGAGGUUGUGGUGGGCAGUGAUUGCGCCACUGCACUCCAGCCUGGGUGACAGAGGGAGACUCUGUCUCAA